UUUCACACUAAAAACAAACCAAAUAUUCCACAUAACGUGAGCACGUAACAUACCACCCGGCGCACAUUAACACCAUCACUUAAUCCAGCGCCACUUGGCUGAUCACUCACCGGCGGCGUAAGGCUUCCAUCACCGUUCGCCGGAGGCUCAACAUACGGCGGCGGCGGAGGUUGAUUAAGACUCGGCGGAAGUCCGACGCCAUGAGUGACGUUGAUCCCGAACGCCAUCCCGUUCUGGCACUGAACACCGUCACUAGCAUCGGAGAAGAAGUAGUUUGCGCCUUCGAUAGUCAACGGAACCGCUACGGUCAACGGCUGCCCGAACUGCUGGUUCCCUGAACUGUAACUGAAUGUAUCACUAUCUGAUGAGUUAUCGAUGCUGCAGCUACGGUAACCAGUGACGAAGGAGUUUGCUGCUUGGGAACGAGUAGUGUCUGUCCACCCUUGUGUCGGGUGUUACCUUAUUUUGAACUAUGAACUUUGUUUAAACUACCUUACUUAUGCUUCCGCUACUUAUUACUGUGUGAACUUGAAACCUUAAACUCUGAACUUAAUAUUUGCUAAUCUUAUGGUUAGUAAGUAUUACUUUUUGUUACCAAUUUAAUUAUUCAGUAUGAUUGAUGGCUGGAUCCUGGUCAGUCACGCCCUCGAAGCGGGUGUUACCCGCAGGUGGAAUUUGGGGGUGUGACAUUUUAC
RNAcentral lists this long non-coding RNA (695 nucleotides) under Helianthus annuus (common sunflower). Its description in RNAcentral is "hypothetical non coding rna". Lineage: Eukaryota; Viridiplantae; Streptophyta; Magnoliopsida; Asterales; Asteraceae. The record is from RNAcentral.